Molecule: long non-coding RNA, 170 nt
Organism: Amphimedon queenslandica
Lineage: Eukaryota; Metazoa; Porifera; Demospongiae; Haplosclerida; Niphatidae
Exons: 3
Source: RefSeq, a predicted model, not a curated record
UUUAUUACAAAGACAAUAGAGAACAAUUGAAGGAGAUCACAACUGAAGAGAGAGCAGAAUUCAAAAUGACAGAAAGCAAAAGGUUAUAGUGUUGCUGUUUAUGGUAUUGGGUCAUUGUAUGAUGUUCCAGGAGACAAAGAGGAUGAAGAUUGAGUACAUUUAGUGGCAAA